CUGAUGUGACAGUCACCAUCGUUCCUUUUCCCCAGUAGUCAAAAGCAUUGUCACAAUGACGCACACAGUAGUAAACUCCUGAGUCUUCAGGCUGCAUAUUCUGUCCCUGAAUGGUC
This is a long non-coding RNA of Salarias fasciatus (jewelled blenny), 116 nucleotides long. RefSeq lists it as uncharacterized. The record is from RefSeq and is a predicted model, not a curated record. The transcript is spliced from 3 exons. Lineage: Eukaryota; Metazoa; Chordata; Actinopteri; Blenniiformes; Blenniidae.